RNAcentral lists this transfer RNA (87 nucleotides) under Planctomycetota bacterium. RNAcentral describes it as "Planctomycetes bacterium tRNA-Leu". It matches the Rfam family "tRNA". Rfam says of the family: Transfer RNA (tRNA) molecules are approximately 80 nucleotides in length. Their secondary structure includes four short double-helical elements and three loops (D, anti-codon, and T loops). Further hydrogen bonds mediate the characteristic L-shaped molecular structure. tRNAs have two regions of fundamental functional importance: the anti-codon, which is responsible for specific mRNA codon recognition, and the 3' end, to which the tRNAs corresponding amino acid is attached (by aminoacyl-tRNA synthetases). tRNAs cope with the degeneracy of the genetic code in two manners: having more than one tRNA (with a specific anti-codon) for a particular amino acid; and 'wobble' base-pairing, i.e. permitting non-standard base-pairing at the 3rd anti-codon position. Lineage: Bacteria; Pseudomonadati; Planctomycetota. The record is from RNAcentral.
GCCGGAGUGGCGGAACUGGCAGACGCGACGGAUUCAAAAUCCGUUCCCCGCAAGGGGGUGAGGGUUCGACUCCCUCCUUCGGCACCA